RNAcentral lists this ribosomal RNA (541 nucleotides) under Paracontias brocchii. RNAcentral describes it as "partial 16S ribosomal RNA". It matches the Rfam family "Bacterial large subunit ribosomal RNA", at positions 1821 to 2614 of the family's 2925-position model. The record is from RNAcentral. Lineage: Eukaryota; Metazoa; Chordata; Lepidosauria; Squamata; Scincidae.
UUUAGCCAAACAAGUAUUAAAGGUCCCGCCUGCCCAGUGAUAAUUUAAACGGCCGCGGUAUUCUAACCGUGCAAAGGUAGCGUAAUCACUUGUCCCCUAAAUAGGGACCAGUAUGAACGGCUAAAUGAGGACAAACCUGUCUCUUACAACUAAUCAGUGAAAUUGAUCUCCCAGUACAAAAGCUGGGAUAUUAACAUAAGACGAGAAGACCCUGUGGAGCUUCAAACCCGCCAUCAACAAGUUAACACAACACACUGACCGGCAGUUUUAAGUUGGGGCGACUUCGGGAAAAAACAAAACUCCCGAGCACAGAACCACAAGUUCUAACCGCGGCCAACAAGCCAAAAUUAUACAAAACAGACCCAGUAAAACUGAGCAACGAACCAAGUUACCCCAGGGAUAACAGCGCCAUCUUCUUCAAGAGUCCAUAUCGACAAGAAGGUUUACGACCUCGAUGUUGGAUCAGGACACCCAAAUGGUGCAGCCGCUAUUAACGGUUCGUUUGUUCAACGAUUAACAGUCCUACGUGAUCUGAGUUCAG